AGAACUCUGAAAAUAUAAAAGAUGAAGACCAUUUCAUUGAUUUUCAUGGUUCUGUUGGUUGCCAGUCUGGCACAUGCUUAUGAGGAAAAGGAGACAGCAGAGAAUGAAAAUGAGCAGGAGCAAAGAGAGAGCCCUGAUCUCUUCGAUGGAGCGAAGGAUCGAAUUGAAGACAGAUGGGACCGGUUCCUCAGCUUUGCAAUGGAGAAGAUUGCCAGUGGAUUCACAAAACCUCGAUCUGGAAAAUAGUGAAGUCAUAUUUAACCACAACUAAGAAACUGUAGUCUCCCCUUUCUUAAACCACCAUAUAACACAUUUCUCCUGUACCUUUGUAUAUGAACAUUGAGAACAUUUCCCAAGACAAAGAGACAAAUUCAGAAUAUUGUUAAAAUAUGUUUAUUAUCAUGAUUUUUUAAACUGAACUAGCAAUAAUUUCUCUUAUUUCUCUCCUAUGCCGCUGUGCUGUGUGUUUGUAUACUUAUUGUAUUAGAAACAAAAAAGUUUGAUUUCUUACCUUAAAUUACAGAGUAACACUUUACUCCAUUCUUGUCAUAUUGAAA
RNAcentral lists this long non-coding RNA (557 nucleotides) under Lepisosteus oculatus (spotted gar). RNAcentral's name for it is "lncRNA (ENSLOCG00000023133.1)". The record is from RNAcentral. Lineage: Eukaryota; Metazoa; Chordata; Actinopteri; Semionotiformes; Lepisosteidae.